GUCGUAUCGGUUCGAUCGGGAUACUCAUCAAAUUAAAUCGAAAACCGGGCUCACUUCUCUGGCCAAUGGCGGGCCACAUGCCGCAAGGCAGCUUUAUUGCCGGUGGAUUACAAAGGCAGAGGACACCCAAAUCUUAGCAAUAGGAGUUUUCAUCACAUCACCGGUACGACCCUUUU
This 176-nucleotide small RNA is filed under the name uncultured Prevotella sp. RNAcentral's name for it is "Bacteroidales-1 6S-Bacteroidales RNA suggested". It matches the Rfam family "Bacteroidales-1 6S-Bacteroidales RNA suggested". The record is from RNAcentral. Lineage: Bacteria; Pseudomonadati; Bacteroidota; Bacteroidia; Bacteroidales; Prevotellaceae.